This 562-nucleotide ribosomal RNA is filed under the name Bacillus cereus. RNAcentral describes it as "bacterial SSU rRNA". It matches the Rfam family "Bacterial small subunit ribosomal RNA", at positions 98 to 641 of the family's 1533-position model. The record is from RNAcentral. Lineage: Bacteria; Bacillati; Bacillota; Bacilli; Caryophanales; Bacillaceae.
GCGGACGGGUGAGUAACAACGUGGGUAACCUGCCCAUAAAGACUGGGGAUAACUCCGGGAAACCGGGGCUAAUACCGGAUAACAUUUUGAACCGCAUGGUUNGAAAUUGAAAAGGCGGCUUCGGCUGUCACUUAUGGAUGGACCCGCGUCGCAUUAGCUAGUUGGUGAGGUAACGGCUCACCAAGGCAACGAUGCGUAGCCGACCUGAGAGGGUGAUCGGCCACACUGGGACUGAGACACGGCCCAGACUCCUACGGGAGGCAGCAGUAGGGAAUCUUCCGCAAUGGACGAAAGUCUGACGGAGCAACGCCGCGUGAGUGAUGAAGGCUUUCGGGUCGUAAAACUCUGUUGUUAGGGAAGAACAAGUGCUAGUUGAAUAAGCUGGCACCUUGACGGUACCUAACCAGAAAGCCACGGCUAACUACGUGCCAGCAGCCGCGGUAAUACGUAGGUGGCAAGCGUUAUCCGGAAUUAUUGGGCGUAAAGCGCGCGCAGGUGGUUUCUUAAGUCUGAUGUGAAAGCCCACGGCUCAACCGUGGAGGGUCAUUGGAAACUGGGAGAC